This 745-nucleotide ribosomal RNA is filed under the name Liolaemus walkeri. RNAcentral describes it as "partial 12S ribosomal RNA". It matches the Rfam family "Bacterial small subunit ribosomal RNA", at positions 299 to 1370 of the family's 1533-position model. The record is from RNAcentral. Lineage: Eukaryota; Metazoa; Chordata; Lepidosauria; Squamata.
UGAGAAUGCCCUCAAAAGUACAAAGGAGCAGGCAUCAGGCACAACCUGUUAGCCCAAGACGCCUCGCCAUGCCACACCCACACGGGCACCCAGCAGUGAUAAAUAUUAAGCAAUGAGUAAAUACCAAACCAAGCUCGACUUAGUUAUGAUCACUAGGGCCGGUCAAUCUCGUGCCAGCCACCGCGGUUAUACGAGAGGCCCAAGCCAGCAGACACCGGCGUAAAUUAUGGCUAGAGCCACUACCCAAAAACUAGGAAAACAAACACAAACUCAACCGUAAAACAUGAGUCAAAAGAAGCUUAAAUUCCUAACCAAAGAGUAACUUGAACCCAUGAAGACUAAGAAACAAACUAGGAUUAGAUACCCUACUAUGCUUAGUUGUUAACACGACACCUAUCAACAAUAGUGUCCGCCAGAGGAUUACACGCGAAAAGCUUAAAACUCAAAGGACUUGGCGGUGCUCCAUACCCGCCUUAGAGGAGCCUGUCCUAUAAUCGAUACUCCACGCUUUACCUUACCAUUUUUUGUCAUUUACAGCCUAUAUACCGCCGUCGCAAACUUACCCCGUGAGGGUAAAGUAGUAAGUAGUAUAGUCACCCACUAACACGUCAGGUCAAGGUGUAGCUUAUAAAAUGGAAGAGAUGGGCUACAUUUUCUAAAACAGAACAUACGGCAAUGGACAUUGAAAAGUGUCCACAAAGGUGGAUUUAAUAGUAAGACAGUAAAGAGAGCCUGUCUAAAACCC